GGAUUAGAUACCCUGGUAGUCCACGCCGUAAACGAUGUCGACUUGGAGGUUGUUCCCUUGAGGAGUGGCUUCCGGAGCUAACGCGUUAAGUCGACCGCCUGGGGAGUACGGCCGCAAGGUUAAAACUCAAAUGAAUUGACGGGGGCCCGCACAAGCGGUGGAGCAUGUGGUUUAAUUCGAUGCAACGCGAAGAACCUUACCUACUCUUGACAUCCAGGGAAUUUGGCAGAGAUGCCUUAGUGCCUUCGGGAACCGUGAGACAGGUGCUGCAUGGCUGUCGUCAGCUCGUGUUGUGAAAUGUUGGGUUAAGUCCCGCAACGAGCGCAACCCUUAUCCUUUGUUGCCAGCGAUUCGGUCGGGAACUCAAAGGAGACUGCCGGUGAUAAACCGGAGGAAGGUGGGGAUGACGUCAAGUCAUCAUGGCCCUUACGAGUAGGGCUACACACGUGCUACAAUGGCGCAUACAAAGAGAAGCGACCUCGCGAGAGCAAGCGGACCUCAUAAAGUGCGUCGUAGUCCGGAUCGGAGUCUGCAACUCGACUCCGUGAAGUCGGAAUCGCUAGUAAUCGUGGAUCAGAAUGCCACGGUGAAUACGUUCCCGGGCCUUGUACACACCGCCCGUCACACCAUGGGAGUGGGUUGCAAAAGAAGUAGGUAGCUUAACCUUCGGGAGGGCGCUUACCACUUUGUGAUUCAUGACUGGGGUGAAGUCGUAACAAGGUA
This 723-nucleotide ribosomal RNA is filed under the name Pantoea sp. RNAcentral's name for it is "bacterial SSU rRNA". It matches the Rfam family "Bacterial small subunit ribosomal RNA", at positions 775 to 1498 of the family's 1533-position model. Lineage: Bacteria; Pseudomonadati; Pseudomonadota; Gammaproteobacteria; Enterobacterales; Erwiniaceae. The record is from RNAcentral.